GUGAACUCUCCCGUCUUAGUUUGUUCUUCCUGAACCCUCAGUUCUGUGUCCAAACUCCAGGAGUCUGCUGGGCUCCCCUGGAUUCCGCCUCCCUGAGCCAUGUCCUGAGAACGUCUUCAAGGCAGUAAGCAGACUGAGGCCACAAGCCCUCCCCAGUGACACAGGCUAACACGUGCGGAGCCUUGGAUGACAAGGAAACUUGCUCUCGUGGAGACAGCAGAGAUGCCUCAGUCAACAGCAGGGAGGCAGGACACGCACAUUCUGACGGCACACCCUUCCCCGAUCUGCACCAGAUGAAACGCAGAGAAACUCCAGUAACUUCCAAAACGAUAGCUAACCAGGAACCAAGGAUUACCGCUACACCCGGCCCACCCGAAUACACCCUGAAUUCCCUCUGUGCAGAUCCCAGGACUUCUACGUUCUAUUUCUGGCAUUCUGGGAUUCAGCCCGUUGACAAACCUGCCCCAGGCCAGGCCCAGCCAGGCAGGUCCUGAGAACAGGGUGCCACUGUGCCUGCGGGCAGCCCGCCGUCAGCUGGGAGGGAUGGAGAAGCAGCAACUGCACCGGACAUCUGCCAGGCAGUGUCGACGGCCACAGGGCACGGGGGCCAGCCAGACGUUAUGAGACAGAAUCAGCACCCUGUUUAUUUGAAGCCACCUUUUCUCUCUAAAGGAUAACCAAUUUGGUCUAAGUUUCUUAGAUGAUAGAGUAAAAGGUGAAAACCCC
This 726-nucleotide long non-coding RNA is filed under the name Homo sapiens (human). RNAcentral describes it as "HSALNT0117556". The record is from RNAcentral. Lineage: Eukaryota; Metazoa; Chordata; Mammalia; Primates; Hominidae.